CAAGGGUAUUUUGGUGGAGACUCCUGAGUACUUGAAGCCUUCUGAAGUGUCAAGCUACACAGAAGAGACUAUCAGAAGGAUGCAGUUUUAAAGAGCUAAUUGAUAAGCAAAACAAAACAAAAGAUUUUUCUUACAUCAGGAAAGCACGUGAAGUCAUCCAAUUUUACUGAAGCAUGCUACUUUGGAAAAGAAGCAAUUCUUCUGCUGAGAGAAGCUGAAGAUUAGUUUAAAGUCUACAAAGGUCAUCAUCAAUGGAGAGAUCUCAUCUCUAAUUUUCUGACUACACCUUCAGAAGAGUAGGCCAGUAAAGCACCUUACUCACAGAAGUCGUUUG
This 334-nucleotide long non-coding RNA is filed under the name Gallus gallus (chicken). RNAcentral describes it as "lncRNA (ENSGALG00010010377.1)". The record is from RNAcentral. Lineage: Eukaryota; Metazoa; Chordata; Aves; Galliformes; Phasianidae.